UCCUUUCAGGAUCUACUAUCUACUCACUGC
This 30-nucleotide non-coding RNA is filed under the name Mus musculus (house mouse). Lineage: Eukaryota; Metazoa; Chordata; Mammalia; Rodentia; Muridae. The record is from RNAcentral.